CUGCUCACUUCAGCAACACCUAUCCUAAAACUGGAACGACACAGAGAUUAGCGUGGCCUCUGCACGAGGAUGACACAAAAAUUCAUGUAAGUGUUCUGUAGUUUU
Molecule: small nuclear RNA, 105 nt
Filed under: Macaca nemestrina (pig-tailed macaque)
Lineage: Eukaryota; Metazoa; Chordata; Mammalia; Primates; Cercopithecidae
Source: RNAcentral